AUUGAACGCUGGCGGCAGGCCUAACACAUGCCAGUCGAGCGGAUGAGGGGAGCUUGCUCCCUGAUUUAGCGGCGGACGGGUGAGUAAUGCCUAGGAAUCUGCCUGGUAGUGGGGGAUAACGUUCCGAAAGGAACGCUAAUACCUCAUACGUCCUACGGGAGAAAGCAGGGGACCUUCGGGCCUUGCGCUAUCAGAUGAGCCUAGGUCGGAUUAGCUAGUUGGUGAGGUAAUGGCUCACCAAGGCGACGAUCCGUAACUGGUCUGAGAGGAUGAUCAGUCACACUGGAACUGAGACACGGUCCAGACUCCUACGGGAGGCAGCAGUGGGGAAUAUUGGACAAUGGGCGAAAGCCUGAUCCAGCCAUGCCGCGUGUGUGAAGAAGGUCUUCGGAUUGUAAAGCACUUUAAGUUGGGAGGAAGGGCUGCUGGUUAAUACCCUGCAGUUUUGACGUUACCAACAGAAUAAGCACCGGCUAACUUCGUG
RNAcentral lists this ribosomal RNA (484 nucleotides) under uncultured bacterium. Its description in RNAcentral is "partial 16S ribosomal RNA". It matches the Rfam family "Bacterial small subunit ribosomal RNA", at positions 30 to 507 of the family's 1533-position model. The record is from RNAcentral.